RNAcentral lists this antisense RNA (72 nucleotides) under Actinoplanes awajinensis subsp. mycoplanecinus. RNAcentral describes it as "ASpks TB sRNA". It matches the Rfam family "ASpks TB sRNA". Lineage: Bacteria; Bacillati; Actinomycetota; Actinomycetes; Micromonosporales; Micromonosporaceae. The record is from Rfam by way of RNAcentral.
CUUCACCGAGCCCAGCCACAGCGGCCCAUCAGCACGGUCCUGGCCAUAGGUGGCCAGCAACGCCUGCGCCUC